GGUAGGCUUAGUAAUCUAGAACCUCUUAAGCAUCACCCAGGGCUUGUGAUGGGGCCUGUUGAUUUAUCGUCUUAUCAUGAUGUUUUUACCUGAAACUAUUUUCAGCUCGAUUUCUGUUUGACAGGGUACCGAGUGAGACCCAGCUGACCUGGAAAAUGACAGGGACACUUUUUAUCCUUCCAACUUAACCUUUCCGUCCUGACUUAACCUUUCCCUCUUUGACACAAAUGAAGAAAUUAGGGCUCUUGACUGCUACUGAUUUAAGGGGAUUACAGAGGCACUGCCAGCGAGCAUGAGCACAAGAGUUUAGCGCCUCUCGGCAGCUGAGAGAGGAUGCUGCAUACUUGGGGCCUGGGACCUCCGAGAAGACCUUCUUCAGCCGAAAGCACACCUUAUUCUUGUCCCAGUUGAAGGCUUCCCAACGGUCUUCAUGUGGCACUUGCUGUGUGCCAGGCCCCACUCUGGGCACUUGGUUUAUUUAAUUCUAACCAUGGUCCUAGGUGAUGGGCGCUGGUAUGACUGUGGGAAAGGGACAAGGUGGGAGAUGUGAACGAACUUCCGGAGCCCUCCCUCGGGCAGCCUAGCUCCCCGCCUCCUCCAACACCUUCUGUUGCUUUUCCAGCACAGCCAGUACUGGGCUCUUGGGUUCGAGCACGGGGCGGGGUGAAGGGUGCUGGGAGGUCACAUUCUUGCUUCCCAGCACUGAAGACUGGAAGAAUGAAUGGCACAGAUGAACAAGGCCGUCCUGCAUCCGCCGCUCACUAGAGGCUUCACAGCUGCGUAGGGACACAGGACAUCUGUACAAUAAAUACCAAUGGUAUUAGUGCCCUAGGGCUGCAGGAACAAAGCACCACAGACUGGGGGUGCUGGAACAGCAGAAACUCAGGCUCUCCCAUUUCUGGAUGCCGGAAGUCCAAAAUCUAGUGUCGGCAGGGCUGUGUCCUCUCUGAGGUUUCCAGGGGAGGAGGCUUCCUUGCUUCUCUGGCUUCUGGUGGUGGCUGGCAAUGCUCGGCAUUCCUUGGCUUAUGGACGCAGCACUGAAAUUGCAGCCCUUAUCUUCAUGUGGCCUUCCUUGUGGCGCUCUGUGUCCAAAUGUCCCUCUCCUCUAAGGACACCAGUCAUCGGAUUAGGCCAGCUCUAAUCCGGUGUGCCUCAUCUUGAUUUAACUAACUACAUCUGCAAAGACACUAUUUCCAGAUUACGUCACGUUCCGAGGUUCCUGGUGGACGUGAAUUUUUGGAAGACGCUGUCCAACCUGGGACACCAGCCAGCCCCUCUCUGGCUCCCUCAGUCCCUCCACCCUUCGGAAGUGGUAAAUGGUGGCUUGCUAACAGCGCCUGUAGCAGCCACCUCCUGGUGAUGGCAAAGGAAGGGCCCUCUCAGUCAUAGGGGCCAAUGGCGAGGAGGACCUGGGACGUGGUGCACUGAGCAUUUUCCCUUCUCAGCAGCUCACUCCUUUGUGUGUCUGUGAUGCGAAGGCUGUGACAUCAGUCAGCCUCAUGGAGAACUGGAACAACGGGCUCUGUGUCUUUGGAGAACGCGUCAAGACCAGGGCCUCUUCCCCUGCUCCCAUGGUUCCCAGCGUUCUUGUCUCCUGAGAGAGGAUGUAGUGGGUGUCAUGUUCAGCAUCGCAACUGGCCUCCGUGGAAACCAGGGUGGAGCUCAGACGGGUGUGGGGGGAGCAUGUGACUGAGCUCCUUCCCACUCUCUCUCCGGCACACACGGAGUCAGUGUAGGGAGGUGAUGGGUAGACUCAGCCUGUGGGAUUCUGGCCUGGCUUCCCGGCAGCAAGCAGGAGCUUCAGAUGCUCAUUCCCGCCGCGGUCGGCUGUGGCGGCGACUCAUACCCGUUUCCGCUCGAAUGAUGCCAGCUGUCCUGCUGCGCCACCUUCCUCUGUCCUCGCAUCCGCUGAUGGGAUUUCCGGUCGCUUCCACUUUGUGGCUCUUUUGAAGAAUGCCGCUAGGAACAUUCACACGCAGGUUCUUGGCCAUAAAAUAUGGCUUUUGGAAAAAUAAAGCUGAGACUUGGAGUUCACGGUGGGGGCUCCCCCAUCUGUGAACAGAAGCAGAAGUUUGGAACUGCCUUCUUUACUGCUCGAGAGGGAAAACUUGAGUGAAAACCAGGAUGCUGGCGAAUGUUGAGUAGCUAAGCUGCACAGGAAAUACCACUUGAUGACCUGCGAUCUGGGGAAGCCGCGCCAGGGCUCUGCGAAGCUGCGGACGAGGGAGGCGUCAGUGUGGGGGCUGCAGCUCAGCUCCGGGGGGGACGCGCCUUUCUCCACGGGACCUGGGGCUCAGGUGCUCACGAGGCUGGGGCGCUGCAGGCCACCCGCAGGGGAAACUGAGGCCCUCCAUUUUGUGGGGCUGGAAGACCUUUCCUUCCAAAAGCAGGUGUAGGCGGGAGCACCUGUGCAGUCCCUCUGUUCAGAUCCUCACCCACUUUUAAAUCAGGAAACAGCAGAUGAAAUGCACAGUGUGAAGGACAAGGAUUCUGCUGAGAGAAUUGCUCCGAGGGUUGCUCAAGUGAUCAUGGGAAAUAAUGCAUCAAACCAUUCUUUAGAUGCAGCUCAGGUGUGCCUUUUCUUCGCCUGUGCCCAUCCACCUGAGAUGGACCAUAACCAUAAAAGUCAGAAGGCACUGACCCUUCAGGACGUGACAGGGUUAAAAGAUGCUGGAGGGAAAGUCUGUCAUUGACUUUUAUUCACUUCCUUUCUCCAUUCUGCCAUUUGGAAGAAGCAUAAAUUGCAGAUGAUAAUUCAAAUUCCUGCAUCAGGUGGAAAGUAGCAGAUUUAAAACACUGCAAAGAAGGGGCUGAGCAGUGAGACGGAUGCUUUGGAACAAUCGAGAAAGUAAGAGCCAGCUGUAAGGUUGCCUGCAGCCAUGGAGCAAUGAAGUGUCAAGGUCAAAGAUCCCCCCAGGUCACGCAGUCCUGCCACUCUCCCUCCCUCUAUGGCCCUGCGCACUUCCAGUGGCAUAGCUAGGGUGGAUGAAGGGGACACCUCUGACCACAUCUCUCUGCCCUCUGACUCAAGUCCUUCCUGCUAUAAUGAAAUCCCCCAUGCUCCCUGAGUUUGGCAUCUACUUAAUCAAAGAAUGUGGAGACUUAGUUCUCAGGAGGGCCGCUACUGAGUGGGUAUGCCACUGGUCAAGAGGGUAACAGGAGACAGAAGACCCAGGAGGAGACUUUGGCCUAAAUGGAUCAGCAACACCACAGAGCAUCCACUCCCCCAGAGCAUCACCCGGAAGGACCAUCCGUUCGGAGACAUCCUGGGAGAACAAGAGGUUUCUUGUCUGACUCUAAAAUUUAUUUUAUCAGUGUAUCUAGGAUUGGGCUGAGUUUAAACAGAAAACCUUUAAAUAAGCACUAUAUGCCUGCUAGACAUAUUAAUGCAAUAAAAGAACCCUGUGUCUUGCUAAACUAAAUUCUCAAAAGUUAACAUUAAAAAAUGAUUCACGG
This 3456-nucleotide long non-coding RNA is filed under the name Homo sapiens (human). RNAcentral describes it as "HSALNT0084018". The record is from RNAcentral. Lineage: Eukaryota; Metazoa; Chordata; Mammalia; Primates; Hominidae.